GAUGAACGCUGGCGGCGUGCCUAACACAUGCAAGUCGAGCGAUUCUCUUCGGAGAAGAGCGGCGGACGGGUGAGUAACGCGUGGGUAACCUGCCCUGUACACACGGAUAACAUACCGAAAGGUAUGCUAAUACGGGAUAACAUGAGAGAGUCGCAUGGCUUUUUUAUCAAAGCUCCGGCGGUACAGGAUGGACCCGCGUCUGAUUAGCUAGUUGGUGAGGUAAUGGCUCACCAAGGCGACGAUCAGUAGCCGACCUGAGAGGGUGAUCGGCCACAGUGGAACUGAGACACGGUCCAGACUCCUACGGGAGGCAGCAGUGGGGAAUAUUGCACAAUGGGCGAAAGCCUGAUGCAGCAACGCCGCGUGAGCGAUGAAGGUCUUCGGAUCGUAAAGCUCUGUCCUCAAGGAAGAUAAUGACGGUACUUGAGGAGGAAGCCCCGGCUAACUACGUGCCAGCCGCCGCAGUAA
This 468-nucleotide ribosomal RNA is filed under the name uncultured bacterium. Its description in RNAcentral is "partial 16S ribosomal RNA". It matches the Rfam family "Bacterial small subunit ribosomal RNA", at positions 28 to 523 of the family's 1533-position model. The record is from RNAcentral.